GGGUUCAGGGGUUGUGGAAAUCGCCAAAGAGCCUAUGCAUUUAGGCAUUAGAUCAGCUUUGGGCUUGCACAAUAAUAAGAUGCUAGUAUGCCCAGAAGCCUCCUUGAACACAUAAUGCUAGAGAAAUAUAGAUAUUAGGAUCCCAGGGGAUCAAGCUUGAGUCAUAGGCAGUAAUAUUCAAUAUUGGCAUACCUCAAGCAAACCAUAAGCAUUAAAAACAUUGGGGUAGGAAUUUAGGAUAGCAUAGUAAAUACAUAACAUGCAUAACCAUGCUAAAAUAAACACUAAACUAAACACCAGCGGCAGGCAGACAAAAGGGAAAAAGGAUUAAUUAAACACAUUGUUGUGAUGCUGGAAUCUUAAUCAGAACAUACCAUUUCAGAGAAGCAAAUACAGUAAGAGCAGGUAACAAGACUUUGAAAGCAGUCCACAAUACAAGUAUCAAGAAGGAAUAUUUUUUGAGUGUGAGUGUGAGUUCAGAAAACUAAAAGUAUUCGUGUGUAAGUGAUGUUAGAACUCAGAGUGUUAGUGUGUGUUAAUGAAAAAGCCAGGGUAUUUAUAGUUUUGAAAACAUGUAAAAAAUAAGGCAAGAAAAUAAUUAUGGAACUAUCAUCAAUUAAAAUCAAAUCAGUAUCGAAGACUUCCUUUAAGUAAUGAGUUAAAAUCAAACGGUAACAUGCCAGUACUAAAUAAGCAAAGAAAUCACAUAGGGCUGAAUAUGACCAAUAAGGAAGCAUAUUACAAGUACACAAUAGGUAAUAGAGACUAGGUUUAUCAAAUUCUAAUCAAAGAAAGGUCGGC
RNAcentral lists this long non-coding RNA (801 nucleotides) under Nicotiana benthamiana. RNAcentral's name for it is "long non-coding RNA (NBEN_LNC016038)". Lineage: Eukaryota; Viridiplantae; Streptophyta; Magnoliopsida; Solanales; Solanaceae. The record is from RNAcentral.